Molecule: ribosomal RNA, 117 nt
Filed under: Halanaerobiaceae bacterium
Lineage: Bacteria; Bacillati; Bacillota; Clostridia; Halanaerobiales; Halanaerobiaceae
Source: RNAcentral
UUCGGUGGCAAUAGCGGAGGGGCCACACCUGUUCCCAUUCCGAACACAGCAGUUAAGCCCUCCAGCGCCCAUGGUACUGCGAGGGCGACCUCGUGGGAGAGUAGGUCGUUGCCGGAG